RNAcentral lists this ribosomal RNA (197 nucleotides) under uncultured bacterium. RNAcentral's name for it is "partial 16S ribosomal RNA". It matches the Rfam family "Bacterial small subunit ribosomal RNA", at positions 328 to 539 of the family's 1533-position model. The record is from RNAcentral.
ACGCUCGACACCUACGGGGGCAGCAGUGGGGAAUAUUGCACAAUGGGGGAAACCCUGAUGCAGCGACGCCGCGUGGAGGAAGAAGGUCUUCGGAUUGUAAACUCCUGUUGUUGGGGAAAAAGAGGAUGGUACCCAACAAGGAAGUGACGGCUAACUACGUGCCAACAGCCGCGGUAAUCUGAGCGGGCUGGCAAGGC